RNAcentral lists this ribosomal RNA (253 nucleotides) under uncultured bacterium. RNAcentral's name for it is "partial 16S ribosomal RNA". It matches the Rfam family "Bacterial small subunit ribosomal RNA", at positions 524 to 776 of the family's 1533-position model. The record is from RNAcentral.
UACAGAGGUGGCAAGCGUUGUUCGGAAUUACUGGGCGUAAAGCGCGUGUAGGCGGUCCGGUAAGUCCGCUGUGAAAGUCGGGGGCUCAACCCUCGAAUGCCGGUGGAUACUGUCGGGCUAGAGUGCGGAAGAGGCGAGUGGAAUUCCUGGUGUAGCGGUGAAAUGCGCAGAUAUCAGGAGGAACACCAAUUGCGAAGGCAGCUCGCUGGGACGUUACUGACGCUGAGACGCGAAAGCGUGGGGAGCAAACAGG